UAUAUAUAUAUAUAGACACACACACACUAACUAGUAACACCGUACAAAUAUAUUAUUAUUUAGGGGUGUUAAGAUAUAAGUCCCUGGUGACAAACUUUAUUAGAACUAAAUGACAGCCCUAAUUAAAAUUUGUUUCACAUCCUUUAUCAAAAUUCAUUCCAAAAAUACCCCUCCAUUCACAAAUUCGAAAAUUAAGUCAAAUUAUAAAUAUUCUAU
Molecule: long non-coding RNA, 216 nt
Filed under: Erythranthe guttata (spotted monkey flower)
Lineage: Eukaryota; Viridiplantae; Streptophyta; Magnoliopsida; Lamiales; Phrymaceae
Description: long non-coding RNA (EGUT_LNC003420)
Source: RNAcentral